AUUGAACGCUGGCGGCAGGCCUAACACAUGCAAGUCGAGCGGAUUAAGGGAGCUUUCUCCUGGAUUCAGAGGCGGACGGGUGAGUAAUGCCUAGGAAGCUGCCUGAGAGUGGGGGAUUACGUCUGGAAGCGGGCGCUAAUACCGCAUGCGGCCUGAGGGAGAACGAGGGGGAACUUGGGAUUUUGCGCUCUCAGACGUGCCUAGGUCGGAUUAGCUAGUUGGUGGGGUAAAGGCCUACCAAGGCGACGAUCCGUAACUGAUCUGAGAGGAUGAUCAGUCACACGGGAACUGAGACACGGUCCAGACUCCUACGGGAGGCAGCAGUGGGGAAUAUUGGACAAUGGGCGAAAGCCUGAUCCAGCCAUGCCGCGUGUGUGAAGAAGGCCUUCGGAUUGUAAAGCACGUUAAGUUGGGAGGAAGGGCAGUAAGUUAAUACCUUGCUGUUUUGACGUUACCAACAGAAUAAGCACCGGCUAACUUCGUG
Molecule: ribosomal RNA, 484 nt
Filed under: uncultured bacterium
Lineage: Bacteria
Description: partial 16S ribosomal RNA
Rfam family: Bacterial small subunit ribosomal RNA
Source: RNAcentral